AUCACUUCUGGCCUAUGGCUCAUAUCAAGUGUAGUUUCUGUUCUUAUCAGUUUAAUAUCUGGUAGGCCUUUUAUAAGGAGGCCACAUAUUUGCCAGCAGGCAUAUCACCCUGCAACUCACAACUGGCAACCCACU
Molecule: small nuclear RNA, 135 nt
Organism: Lepisosteus oculatus (spotted gar)
Lineage: Eukaryota; Metazoa; Chordata; Actinopteri; Semionotiformes; Lepisosteidae
Gene: U2
Rfam family: U2 spliceosomal RNA
About the family: U2 is a small nuclear RNA (snRNA) component of the spliceosome (involved in pre-mRNA splicing).
Source: Ensembl